Molecule: ribosomal RNA, 338 nt
Filed under: uncultured eukaryote
Lineage: Eukaryota
Description: partial 18S ribosomal RNA
Rfam family: Eukaryotic small subunit ribosomal RNA
Source: RNAcentral
CCCUGAUGCCCUUAGAUGUCCUGGGCCGCACGCGCGCUACACUGAGUGUCUGAGAUAUGAGGCAUGCCUGGUCCGGCAAGGUCUAGGUAAUAACGAAAAGGCACAUCAUGCUUGGGAUUGAUUAUUGCAAAUUUUAAUCAUGAACGAGGAAUUCCUAGUAAGUGCAAGUCAACAGCUUGCGUUGAUUACGUCCCUGCCCUUUGUACACACCGCCCGUCGCUACUACUGAUUGGAUGUUUAAGCGAGGUUCUCGAACUGCUAGUGACUGAUCUUCGGUGAGGUCGCAGUGUGGGAAGUGAACCUAGCUUUGGUGUCUAGAGGAAGUAAAAGUCGUAACA